RNAcentral lists this ribosomal RNA (234 nucleotides) under uncultured bacterium. RNAcentral's name for it is "partial 16S ribosomal RNA". It matches the Rfam family "Bacterial small subunit ribosomal RNA", at positions 333 to 581 of the family's 1533-position model. The record is from RNAcentral.
UCGAUCCUACGGGACGCAGCAGUGGGGAAUAUUGGGCAAUGGGCGCAAGCCUGACCCAGCAACGCCGCGUGACGGCCGCCGGCCCUCGGGUUGUCCCCUUCUUUUCUUCGGGACGAAACCAAUGACGGUACCGAAUGAAUAAGCCACGGCUAACUACGUGCCAGCAGCAGCGGUAAUACGUAGGUGGCAAGCGUUAUCCGGAUUUACUGGGUGUAAAGGGCGUGUAGGCGGGAG